UGAUAAUUAGUUUAGAUAAAAUUAAUGAUUUCGACUCAUUAGACUGUGGUCUAACCCACAAUUAUCAA
Molecule: transfer RNA, 68 nt
Filed under: Galemys pyrenaicus
Lineage: Eukaryota; Metazoa; Chordata; Mammalia; Eulipotyphla; Talpidae
Description: tRNA-Arg
Rfam family: tRNA
About the family: Transfer RNA (tRNA) molecules are approximately 80 nucleotides in length. Their secondary structure includes four short double-helical elements and three loops (D, anti-codon, and T loops).
Source: RNAcentral